RNAcentral lists this transfer RNA (80 nucleotides) under Brevibacillus reuszeri. RNAcentral describes it as "tRNA-Cys". It matches the Rfam family "tRNA". From Rfam's summary of the family: Transfer RNA (tRNA) molecules are approximately 80 nucleotides in length. Lineage: Bacteria; Bacillati; Bacillota; Bacilli; Caryophanales; Paenibacillaceae. The record is from RNAcentral.
GGAGAGUUACUCAAGAGGCCUUAGGGGACGGUUUGCAAAACCGUUAGUGCAGCGAGGGUUCGAAUCCCUCACUCUCCGCC